CGCGGCCUAUCAGCUUGUUGGUGAGGUAACGGCUCACCAAGGCAUCGACGGGUAGCUGGUCUGAGAGGACGAUCAGCCACACUGGGACUGAGACACGGCCCAGACUCCUACGGGAGGCAGCAGUAGGGAAUCUUGCGCAAUGGGGGAAACCCUGACGCAGCAACGCCGCGUGUGGGAUGACGGCUUUCGGGUUGUAAACCACUUUCAGUGAUGACGAAAAUGACGGUAAUCACAGAAGAAGGUCCGGCCAACUACGUGCCAGCAGCCGCGGUAACGCGUAGGGACCGAGCGUUGUCCGGAUUUAUUGGGCGUAAAGAGCUCGUAGGCGGUUCUGUAAGUCGGAUGUGAAAACUCAGGGCUCAACCCUGAGACGCCAUCUGAUACUGCAGUGACUAGAGUCCGGUAGAGGAAGAUGGAAUUCCUGGUGUAGCGGUGGAAUGCGCAGAUAUCAGGAGGAACACCAAUGGCGAAGGCAGUCUUCUGGGCCGGUACUGACGCUGAGGAGCGAAAGCAUGGGGAGCAAACAGGAUUAGAUACCCUGGUAGUCCACGCCGUAAACGUUGGGUACUAGGCGUGGCGUCUUAUCAACGGAUGCCGUGCUCGAAGCUAACGCGUUAAGUACCCCGCCUGGGGAGUACGG
RNAcentral lists this ribosomal RNA (640 nucleotides) under uncultured Actinomycetes bacterium. RNAcentral describes it as "bacterial SSU rRNA". It matches the Rfam family "Bacterial small subunit ribosomal RNA", at positions 232 to 885 of the family's 1533-position model. The record is from RNAcentral. Lineage: Bacteria; Bacillati; Actinomycetota; Actinomycetes.